Molecule: long non-coding RNA, 232 nt
Filed under: Urocitellus parryii (Arctic ground squirrel)
Lineage: Eukaryota; Metazoa; Chordata; Mammalia; Rodentia; Sciuridae
Description: lncRNA (ENSUPAG00010018756.1)
Source: RNAcentral
CGGUGGGGAGGAUCAGAUGGGAGAAUCAGUCUGUUCAUCAACCUGUGCCCAGUAAAUUUGAUUUCCGGAGUCAGUCAUCUUGGCGUCUUCUUCUACCACAGGUAGAUAUUAAGCAUGCAGUGGAAAUAAGGCAUGAAAGUGCCUUACUUGACUAAAUGAUGACUACACCAAGGGCCACAACUCAGCAGAACACUGCCUUAUGAAACCAUGACUCAUGGUUCCCAUUGCUUCC